AGGUAUACUCUGAAUGGGGCUUCCGUUAGAUACUCGUAUAAGGCCCAGCAGUUCAUGUUAAAUCCAACCAUGCAUGAAAUGCCGAGUAAGGCCACGAAUACUAGAAACAUGUCCGGGACACAAGGGUACAUGCACAGAAUAUGCAGUCAAACUAUUCCGGGAAAUUUGCCUUUGUUGAACAAUCUUUUGUACAUUCCUCUGAAGACCUUUGAGUGCAGCCUCGUGAGUAAUUAGUGGCGAUUCAUGGCGAGAACUUUCGGAGCUGUUCAAGCGUGACGCUAGUUCUGGAACACUUAACGGAUUAACUAUUUCUUUACUCUGUAGAGCUGCACAAUGAUGCGACUCAUAAAUAGAUCUGCCGAAAUCAUUGCAAGUGUAAUCAACAACCACAGCACGUGCCGCCUCGAGUGGAACAGGCGCCGGCCUAUUGCCAUCAAUUCUUCUUCUUCUAGCGCGUCAUUGACACACACCAAUAGCUCGUAAUGAGCCAAAUGAAAGAAGCCUCAGACUCACACUAUACUAUCAAAUAAA
Non-coding RNA from Plutella xylostella (diamondback moth), 531 nucleotides. The record is from RefSeq and is a predicted model, not a curated record. Lineage: Eukaryota; Metazoa; Arthropoda; Insecta; Lepidoptera; Plutellidae.